Molecule: ribosomal RNA, 467 nt
Filed under: uncultured bacterium
Lineage: Bacteria
Description: partial 16S ribosomal RNA
Rfam family: Bacterial small subunit ribosomal RNA
Source: RNAcentral
GACGAACGCUGGCGGCGUGCUUAACACAUGCAAGUCGAACGGUGAAGCUCCAGCUUGCUGGAGUGGAUCAGUGGCGAACGGGUGAGUAACACGUGAGCAACCUGCCCCUGACUCUGGAAUAAGCGCUGGAAACGGCGUCUAAUACUGGAUACGAGAAGGGUCCGCAUGGGCACUUUCUGGAAAGUUUUUCGGUUGGGGAUGGGCUCGCGGCCUAUCAGCUUGUUGGUGAGGUAAUGGCUCACCAAGGCGACGACGGGUAGCCGGCCUGAGAGGGCGACCGGCCACACGGGGACUGAGACACGGCCCAGACUCCUACGGGAGGCAGCAGUGGGGAAUAUUGCACAAUGGGCGAAAGCCUGAUGCAGCGACGCCGCGUGAGGGAUGACGGCCUUCGGGUUGUAAACCUCUUUCAGCAGGGAAGAAGCGAAAGUGACAGUACCUGCAGAAGAAGCACCGGCUAACUACGU